GUGAGGAAUUUUGCGCAAUGGGGGCAACCCUGACGCAGCGACGCCGCGUGGAGGACGAAGUCUUUCGGGAUGUAAACUCCUGUCAGUGGGGACAAUAAUGACGGUACCCACAGAGGAAGCACCGGCUAACUCCGUGCCAGCAGCCGCGGUAAGACGGAGGGUGCAAGCGUUGUUCGGAAUUACUGGGCAUAAAGCGUAUGUAGGCGGCAAGUUAAGUUCAAUGUUAAAGCCCACGGCUCAACCGAGGAGAUGCAUUGAAUACUGGCUAGCUAGAGGGUGUUAGAGGAAGACGGAAUUCCCAGUGUAGCGGUGAAAUGCGUAGAUAUUGGGAGGAACAUCGGUAGCGAAAGCGGUCUUCUGGGACAUACCUGACGCUGAGGUACGAAAGCGUGGGGAGCAAACGGGAUUAGAAACCCGUGUAGUCC
RNAcentral lists this ribosomal RNA (425 nucleotides) under uncultured bacterium. RNAcentral describes it as "partial 16S ribosomal RNA". It matches the Rfam family "Bacterial small subunit ribosomal RNA", at positions 354 to 796 of the family's 1533-position model. The record is from RNAcentral.